Molecule: ribosomal RNA, 497 nt
Filed under: uncultured bacterium
Lineage: Bacteria
Description: partial 16S ribosomal RNA
Rfam family: Bacterial small subunit ribosomal RNA
Source: RNAcentral
GAUGAACGCUGGCGGCGUGCCUAAUACAUGCAAGUCGAGCGAACAGACGAGGAACUUGCUCCUCUGACGUUAGCGGCGGACGGGUGAGUAACACGUGGAUAACCUACCUAUAAGACUGGGAUAACUUCGGGAAACCGGAGCUAAUACCGGAUAACAUGUUGAACCGCAUGGUUUAACAGUGAAAGACGGUCUUGCUGUCACUUAUAGAUGGAUCCGCGCCGCAUUAGCUAGUUGGUAAGGUAACGGCUUACCAAGGCAACGAUGCGUAGCCGACCUGAGAGGGUGAUCGGCCACACUGGAACUGAGACACGGUCCAGACUCCUACGGGAGGCAGCAGUAGGGAAUCUUCCGCAAUGGGCGAAAGCCUGACGGAGCAACGCCGCGUGAGUGAAGAAGGUCUUCGGAUCGUAAAACUCUGUUAUUAGGGAAGAACAAAUGUGUAAGUAACUAUGCACGUCUUGACGGUACCUAAUCAGAAAGCCACGGCUAACUACGUG